CCAAACUGUUGCCUCGGCGGGGUCACGCCCCGGGUGCGUCUCAGCCCCGGAACCAGGCGCCCGCCGGAGGAACCAACCAAACUCUUUCUGUAGUCCCCUCGCGGACGUAUUUCUUUACAGCUCUGAGCAAAAAUUCAAAAUGAAUCAAAACUUUCAACAACGGAUCUCUUGGUUCUGGCAUCGAUGAAGAACGCAGCGAAAUGCGAUAAGUAAUGUGAAUUGCAGAAUUCAGUGAAUCAUCGAAUCUUUGAACGCACAUUGCGCCCGCCAGUAUUCUGGCGGGCAUGCCUGUCCGAGCGUCAUUUCAACCCUCGAACCCCUCCGGGGGAUCGGCGUUGGGGAUCGGGACCCCUCACACGGGCGCCGGCCCCUAAAUACAGUGGCGGUCUCGCCGCAGCCUCUCCUGCGCAGUAGUUUGCACAACUCGCACCGGGAGCGCGGCGCGUCCACGUCCGUAAAACACCCAACUUUCUGAAAUGUUGACCUCGGAUCAGGUAGGAAUACCCGCUGAACUUAAGCAUAUCAAUAAGCGGAGGAA
RNAcentral lists this ribosomal RNA (538 nucleotides) under Trichoderma asperellum. RNAcentral's name for it is "eukaryotic LSU rRNA". The stretch from base 149 to 302 matches the Rfam family "5.8S ribosomal RNA". Lineage: Eukaryota; Fungi; Ascomycota; Sordariomycetes; Hypocreales; Hypocreaceae. The record is from RNAcentral.